CAAAGGAAUUGACGGGGACCCGCACAAGCGGUGGAGCAUGUGGUUUAAUGCGACAAUAAGCGAAGAACCUUACCGGGACUUGACAUGUACCUGCACGCCUAUGGAAACAUAGGUUCCUUCGAUGGUGGUACACAGGUGCUGCAUGGUUGUCGUCAGCUCGUGUCGUGAGAUGUACAGUUAAGUCUGAUAACGAGCGCAACCCCUAUCUUAUGUUACACUUUCAUAAGAGACCUGCCAUGGAUAACAUGGAGGAAGGUGGGGAUGACGUCAAAUCCGCAUGGCUCUUAUCGUUCCGGGCCACACACGU
Molecule: ribosomal RNA, 307 nt
Filed under: uncultured bacterium
Lineage: Bacteria
Description: bacterial SSU rRNA
Rfam family: Bacterial small subunit ribosomal RNA
Source: RNAcentral